This 858-nucleotide long non-coding RNA is filed under the name Malus domestica (apple). RNAcentral describes it as "long non-coding RNA (MDOM_LNC011858)". The record is from RNAcentral. Lineage: Eukaryota; Viridiplantae; Streptophyta; Magnoliopsida; Rosales; Rosaceae.
ACUUAUUCUUUUAGCGUAUUGGUGUAGUGCUUGUUGGUACGAAUGCAUAGGCGAAAACCGGUUGCGAGUCCGGAUCAUAACGGUAUAGUCACAGGCAUUUGAAGUCGUUUUACUAAACUAUAGAAUUUUAAAUUAAUUUGAGCUCCCACCAUGUGGGAAUGGAAGCCAAUCAGAUUUUUUUUGUUGUUGGUGGGCCAAUUAGGCAUUGGACCAAUAAAAGAGAAGCUCCCAGCAUUGUCUUCCCUUGGUGGACACUCGCGACAAGACCCGAUUUCGAACCAGUGUGAAAUUCCGGCCACUUCCACCAUAUUUUCAGGCGAAAUUCACCCAUCCAUUACCUGUAACCUCUUUCAUAACCUCCCCUCUUCCAUUUCCACCCAAAAUUAGAAGGAAUUUGGUUGAGGUUUGGUGGAAAAACCAACAUGGGUGCCGCGGGAAAGGUUGCUCGAGAUCCACCAAACCUGAAACAAUUUCAUUCAAUUAUCACUACCAAUAGACUUCCCUUGAACUCCUGAACAAAGCCCAAUAGGUUUUAGGGGUGGCGGAACGUUGAGGAGGAAGAAUUGAAGCACAUCCUUUAUAGGGUUUCCAGUGGAUUUUCAUGAAAUUGAGGUGUUUCCCGGCCAAAUUGGCCUUGGCCACAGGUAUGAAAGUUGUUCCACUCACUGAGAUCUCCAUUUUCUGUGAAAUUUGGUAAUUUUUUAAAAUAGUUGGAUUUUCCGGCGAGUCGGGGCAGCCAACCUCCACCCACGGCGGCGCGUGACCAGUGGGCCAAAGGUGUCUUCCUAAGUUCAAUUAGAGGCCCUGAAUUCAUAAUUGAUGUCUGUUUUGACACACCCUGAUCCGGAGGAUCCAGGU